GAUGAACGCUGGCGGCGUGCUUAACACAUGCAAGUCGAACGGAAAGGCUCCUGCUUGCAGGGGUACUCGAGUGGCGAACGGGUGAGUAACACGUGGGUGAUCUGCCCUGCACUUCGGGAUAAGCCUUGGAAACUGGGUCUAAUACCGGAUAGGACGAUGGUUUGGAUGCCAUUGUGGAAAGUUUUUCGGUGUGGGAUGAGCUCGCGGCCUAUCAGCUUGUUGGUGGGGUAAUGGCCUACCAAGGCGUCGACGGGUAGCCGGCCUGAGAGGGUGUACGGCCACAUUGGGACUGAGAUACGGCCCAGACUCCUACGGGAGGCAGCAGUGGGGAAUAUUGCACAAUGGGCGCAAGCCUGGUGCAGCGACGCCGCGUGGGGGAUGACGGCCUUCGGGUUGUAAACUCCUUUCGCUAGGGACGAAGCGCAAGUGACGGUACCUGGAGAAGAAGCACCGGCUAACUACGUG
This 465-nucleotide ribosomal RNA is filed under the name uncultured bacterium. RNAcentral's name for it is "partial 16S ribosomal RNA". It matches the Rfam family "Bacterial small subunit ribosomal RNA", at positions 28 to 507 of the family's 1533-position model. The record is from RNAcentral.